GUCUACGGCCAUACCACCCUGAACGCACCCGAUCUCGUCUGAUCUCGGAAGCUAAGCAGGGUCGGGCCUGGUUAGUACUUGGAUGGGAGACCGCCUGGAAAUAUCGGGUGCUGUAGGCU
Molecule: ribosomal RNA, 119 nt
Organism: Cavia aperea (Brazilian guinea pig)
Lineage: Eukaryota; Metazoa; Chordata; Mammalia; Rodentia; Caviidae
Source: Ensembl